AUUGAACGCUGGCGGCAGGCCUAACACAUGCAAGUCGAACGGUAGCACAGAGAGCUUGCUCUCGGGUGACGAGUGGCGGACGGGUGAGUAAUGUCUGGGAAACUGCCCGAUGGAGGGGGAUAACUACUGGAAACGGUAGCUAAUACCGCAUAACGUCGCAAGACCAAAGUUGGGGACCUUCGGGCCUCACACCAUCGGAUGUGCCCAGAUGGGAUUAGCUAGUAGGUGGGGUAAUGGUUCACCUAGGCGACGAUCCCUAGCUGGUCUGAGAGGAUGACCAGCCACACUGGAACUGAGACACGGUCCAGACUCCUACGGGAGGCAGCAGUGGGGAAUAUUGCACAAUGGGCGCAAGCCUGAUGCAGCCAUGCCGCGUGUAUGAAGAGGGCCUUCGGGUUGUAAAGUACUUUCAGCGGGGAGGAAGGCGGUGAAGUUAAUAACUUCACCGAUUGACGUUACCCGCAGAAGAAGCACCGGCUAACUCCGUGCCAGCCGCCGCGGUAA
Molecule: ribosomal RNA, 504 nt
Filed under: uncultured bacterium
Lineage: Bacteria
Description: partial 16S ribosomal RNA
Rfam family: Bacterial small subunit ribosomal RNA
Source: RNAcentral